This 492-nucleotide ribosomal RNA is filed under the name uncultured bacterium. RNAcentral describes it as "partial 16S ribosomal RNA". It matches the Rfam family "Bacterial small subunit ribosomal RNA", at positions 28 to 507 of the family's 1533-position model. The record is from RNAcentral.
GAUGAACGCUAGCUACAGGCUUAACACAUGCAAGUCGAGGGGAAACGACAUCAAAAGCUUGCUUUUGAUGGGCGUCGACCGGCGCACGGGUGAGUAAAGCGUAUCCAACCUGCCCACCACUUGGGGAUAACCUUGCGAAAGUAAGACUAAUACCCAAUGACGUCUCUAGAAGACAUCUGAAAGAGAUUAAAGAUUUAUCGGUGAUGGAUGGGGAUGCGUCUGAUUAGCUUGUUGGCGGGGUAACGGCCCACCAAGGCGACGAUCAGUAGGGGUUCUGAGAGGAAGGUCCCCCAAAUUGGAACUGAGACACGGUCCAAACUCCUACGGGAGGCAGCAGUGAGGAAUAUUGGUCAAUGGACGAGAGUCUGAACCAGCCAAGUAGCGUGCAGGAUGACGGCCCUAUGGGUUGUAAACUGCUUUUAUAAGGGAAUAAAGUGAGUCUCGUGAGACUUUUUGCAUGUACCUUAUGAAUAAGGACCGGCUAAUUCCGUG